RNAcentral lists this ribosomal RNA (172 nucleotides) under Cirrhilabrus cyanopleura (blueside wrasse). RNAcentral describes it as "partial 16S ribosomal RNA". Lineage: Eukaryota; Metazoa; Chordata; Actinopteri; Labriformes; Labridae. The record is from RNAcentral.
GAGCCAACAUCUCAUUGAGCUUGACUCCCCGUAUGAGGACAUUCCUUACCCCUCAUGUUGCUUGUGCUCAAGAUUUUUCUCCCGGUCCCUGAGUCAGUCAUCUCACUGGUUUCGCCAGGAUCAUGGCACGCAAGGUAGGCGAACCAAGGGGUUGAAUGCGGACGAUGACCGC